Molecule: long non-coding RNA, 1495 nt
Filed under: Daphnia pulex (common water flea)
Lineage: Eukaryota; Metazoa; Arthropoda; Branchiopoda; Diplostraca; Daphniidae
Description: uncharacterized LOC124197125, transcript variant X4
Source: RNAcentral
UGAGGAUCUCCGACACGGGAACAACUGCUUUCUUCGUCGUAUUAUCAGUUCGCCAUCAUUGUUGAUAAUGGCGUUGUGUUGCUGUUGGGUGUUGUAUCGUUGAUGUCUACCACGAGAGAGAUAAGGCGAUAAAUCGACUGAGCAUCUCCGACACGACAGCAAUUGCAUUCUUCGUGGUAUUACCAGUUUUCAAUCACGGUGAACCAUGUCGUCGUGCUGUACUACACAUAACAACUUAUGCUGUCCUGAGCUACUAAACCGAAGCCCCGUUGAAGUAUUAUUCUUCCCCGAGCUACGCUACCAAAGCGCAUGUGUACUACACCACCGAGGCUCCCGAUUACUACACCACCGAGGCUCCCGAGUGCUACGCAACUACGUAUGCUGCCCCAUUCUAUUUCACCGAGACUUAAGUACUAUUCUGCUCCCAGCUACUGCUUUGAGGCUCCAGCUUAGUACACCACCAAAGCGAUCGAAUACUACAUAGAAGCGCCCAAGUACGAUAGAAAUCAGUCGAGUGAGUAUCUUCGACACCCAACACGGCAGCCCCGAAGUUUCGUAUUAACUUCGUUUCAAACAGUGGAACAGCAAAGAGCGAAGACGAAUUCUAUUGCAAUCCCGUUGAAUUGAACGGCAAAGAUAAAGGUGGCGUAGCAGUCGUACGUGGACACCGACAUUGUCGGUCGGAGAGCCGAACUUGACGAUGGCCGUACCAUCACCUACGACAAGUGCCUUAUUGCCACAGGUGGUAAACGAAAAUCUUUUCCAAUCCCUGAAUGGUGCCCUCAAAGAUGCCCUCGAGCACGUAACGCUGCUCCGCUACAUCGAUGGCGGUAACACAGGCCGAAUCCUCCCUAAAUAUUUGAGCCAAUGGACAACCGAGAAGGUGAAAACGGAAAGUGUUUGUGUUGCCCAAAGCUAAUGUUGAGGGUGCCAUUUUGUUAGACUACAAGGUUGCAUUGACCUUAAAUGAUGGUCAAAAGAUUUAAACUGACCAGUCGUCGCUGUUGUCCAGUGGGACGCAAAAACGGAUUUGGCUGUCGCUUCUGGUUUGAAAAUAGAUUCCAAUUUUGGUGGUUAUCGAGUCAAUACCGAGCUUGAAGCACGAUCGAACGUCUGGCUGGAGAUGUUGCGUUCUUUUGUGAUAUCAAAUUGCGGAAUUGGGUCGUCGUCGUAUGGAAAAUCAUCACUAUGCUGUUGUAUCAGGGCGAUUGGCUGGAGAGAACAAUACUGUCAACGGAACAUGGAUGAACAAUUGCAGUACACUGUCACCAAGUGCAUUCUUCGUCCUAUUAUCAGUACGUAAUCGGGUCGGGUCGAUCACUGGUGUAACCAUGUCUCCUGGGUAUGGCGUAUACCAAAGCACCACGCCGCCGCCUUGCUACACAACAACAUUCGCACCAACCGGUUACUACACUGAGGACCACAAUUACUACACCACCAAGGCUCCAGAGUAUUACACCAUCACCAAAGAUUCUGAGUACUACACCGAGGUUUC